RNAcentral lists this transfer RNA (74 nucleotides) under Phycisphaerales bacterium. Its description in RNAcentral is "tRNA-Arg". It matches the Rfam family "tRNA". Rfam says of the family: Transfer RNA (tRNA) molecules are approximately 80 nucleotides in length. The record is from RNAcentral. Lineage: Bacteria; Pseudomonadati; Planctomycetota; Phycisphaerae; Phycisphaerales.
GUCCGCGUAGCUCAAUCGGAUAGAGCGUCGGCCUCCGGAGCCGAAGGUUAUGUGUUCGAAUCACAUCGCGGACG